RNAcentral lists this ribosomal RNA (679 nucleotides) under uncultured bacterium. RNAcentral's name for it is "bacterial SSU rRNA". It matches the Rfam family "Bacterial small subunit ribosomal RNA", at positions 87 to 762 of the family's 1533-position model. The record is from RNAcentral.
GCCGGCGACCGGCGCACGGGUGAGUAACACGUAUGGAACCUGCCCGCCACAGGGGGAUAACCCGGGGAAACCCGGCCUAAUACCCCAUGCCGCCCGGACCGGGCAUCCGGACCGGGCGAAAGGAGGAAUCCGGUGGCGGCUGGGCAUGCGGCGCAUUAGCUUGACGGCGGGGUAACGGCCCACCGUGGCGACGAUGCGUAGGGGUUCUGAGAGGAAGGCCCCCCACACUGGAACUGAGACACGGUCCAGACUCCUACGGGAGGCAGCAGUGAGGAAUAUUGGUCAAUGGGCGGAAGCCUGAACCAGCCAAGUCGCGUGAGGGAAUAAGGCCCUACGGGUCGUAAACCUCUUUUGCCGGGGAGCAAGGACCGGGACGAGUCCCGGCCCGGAGAGUACCCGGAGAAAAAGCAUCGGCUAACUCCGUGCCAGCAGCCGCGGUAAUACGGAGGAUGCGAGCGUUAUCCGGAUUUAUUGGGUUUAAAGGGUGCGUAGGCGGGCUUUUAAGUCAGCGGUAAAAAUUCGGGGCUCAACCCCGUCCGGCCGUUGAAACUGGGGGCCUUGAGUGGGCGAGAAGAAGGCGGAAUGCGUGGUGUAGCGGUGAAAUGCAUAGAUAUCACGCAGAACCCCGAUUGCGAAGGCAGCCUUCCGGCGCCCUACUGACGCUGAGGCACGAAAGUGC